This is a small nuclear RNA of Meriones unguiculatus (Mongolian gerbil), 164 nucleotides long. Its record names the gene U1. It matches the Rfam family "U1 spliceosomal RNA". Rfam says of the family: U1 is a small nuclear RNA (snRNA) component of the spliceosome (involved in pre-mRNA splicing). Its 5' end forms complementary base pairs with the 5' splice junction, thus defining the 5' donor site of an intron. The record is from Ensembl. NCBI's taxonomy places the organism in Eukaryota, Metazoa, Chordata, Mammalia, Rodentia, Muridae.
AUACUUACCUGACAAGGGAGAUACCCUGAUUACAAAGUAGCUUUCACAGGGUGAGACUCGGCCAUUGCAAUCUGGAUGAGCUGAUCCCUGUGAUUUCUCCAAGUUUGGGAAACUCAACUGAAUAAUUUGUGGUAGGUGAGGGACUGUGCUCCCACUCUCCCUUA